Long non-coding RNA from Hyaena hyaena (striped hyena), 166 nucleotides. RefSeq lists it as uncharacterized. The record is from RefSeq and is a predicted model, not a curated record. The transcript is spliced from 2 exons. NCBI's taxonomy places the organism in Eukaryota, Metazoa, Chordata, Mammalia, Carnivora, Hyaenidae.
UGUGGCUCUGCCAUUCCGGCUUCCACAUGCCGGCUAACACGCACUGGGCCGGGUCUCUGCUCUCCAGCAAGGGAGGCGGACGAGAGCUUCUUUGCACCUACGAGGGGUGUCCUCUCAUUUCUCACCAAACGGGCAGUCGCCAAUAUUCCACAGCAGACCCCACAAG